AUUUAAUCUUAUUAGAUGUUUUUAUUCGUAAAAGUGAAACAUGCGCACUCACUAGUUGAAAUUUUGUUUGUAAUUUUAUAUUGUAGAUUUUUUCCUCAUUCUCAUUCCGAUAAAAAAUUGUCAGCUGAAGACUGCUAUGGUCUUUCGGAUUCUUCUGGCGACAACGAACAUCAUCAAAAAUACACAAACGAAAUGAUUCAUUCGACAUCAUCAGAUAUAGUUACGGAUUCGGAAGGGCUAAUUCUUCCACGUAAAUUGGCUAACCCGUAUUUAGAAUCACGGGACCGUCGCGAUCUACAUAGGGAAUUGUUAUUUAAUCAAAAAAUUGGACGAAGUGUAAUUGGGCAGAAAUCAGAAUUGGAGUGUGCCCUCCAAAAACAAAAGGAACGCCAGUUCAUUUUGGAACAGCAACAACAACAAGAUAAUAGUCGAAAUGAUUUGGAAGAUGAAUUUUCCAAAGUAAUGAUGGAACGUGCACAAAAGCUAGAAAAAUCAAAUUUACAGCAGGAAGAAGAGCAUGUGGAUCCACAAUUAAAUUUAGAGUAUCUUAACGCCAGAGCGAAACUGCGGGAUGUUCGAAGUCCAUUUAUUGCACUCCUGGAGAAUACUCUAUCGCCUAGGCAACUGUCUUACAUAAAUGAUGGAACCAAAUUGAUGUCACGCUUUGCCAUGCUACCGCAUAAUGUUGGGAAUAUUUUCAUGUCAAUGAUAACAAGUCCCCAUAGUGCUUACCUUGUACAGCAACAUGCCUAUAUAUUAAUCCCUAGAUAUAUACGAUUGUGUAUAUUUUCUCUACUAUUUAUAUUAUGCACACAGUAACAUGUUCAUAUAUCUUUAUUAAAAAUGAACUUAAGCGAAAAACGCAUUACCAUACUAUGCUGCGAAAGGAGGGUGAAUACUUCAGUCACCACGUUCAUAAAAUAAAUGAUGCUUAAACGUGCCUAUUUGCCAAAUGUAGGACAUGUUGUGAAUGGAAUCUCUUUUGGGUUUGAGCGAGGUCCUGGGAGCAGUUCUUUGUAGCCAACAUCAAGAGUUAAGUGCCGCACAAAGACCACCACUGAAAACUCCGAUCUGUAUCUGGAUGUCGUAAGCGUACUAUUCAUGAUGCACCUUCAGGAGGACUAUGGGCUCGUAUAUGUGAUUCUUAGACUUUUAUAUAACUCAUAUAUUUCGAAGUGUCUGCGUUGGUAAUCGGAUAGUUUACCGAGAGCAAUAUUCACGAUUAUUGAAUUUUCGGUAUUUCCGAUCCGGUGUGAAAACAAUGUAUCAUAUUCAUGUAAAUGAAACAGUUUGAAAGUGAAGCAAAUAUCUGCUUAUUUGGA
This 1322-nucleotide unclassified non-coding RNA is filed under the name Hermetia illucens (black soldier fly). Its description in RNAcentral is "protein FAM107B, transcript variant X17". The record is from RNAcentral. Lineage: Eukaryota; Metazoa; Arthropoda; Insecta; Diptera; Stratiomyidae.